UACGGAGGGGGCUAGCGUUGUUCGGAAUUACUGGGCGUAAAGCGCGCGUAGGCGGCUUUGUAAGUUAGAGGUGAAAGCCCGGAGCUCAACUCCGGAACUGCCUUUAAGACUGCAUCGCUAGAAUUGUGGAGAGGUGAGUGGAAUUCCGAGUGUAGAGGUGAAAUUCGUAGAUAUUCGGAAGAACACCAGUGGCGAAGGCGGCGUUCUGGACUGUUUCUGACACUGAAUAACGAAAGCCAGGGGAGCAAACGGG
This 253-nucleotide ribosomal RNA is filed under the name uncultured prokaryote. RNAcentral describes it as "partial 16S ribosomal RNA". It matches the Rfam family "Bacterial small subunit ribosomal RNA", at positions 524 to 776 of the family's 1533-position model. The record is from RNAcentral.